RNAcentral lists this long non-coding RNA (951 nucleotides) under Linum usitatissimum (flax). RNAcentral's name for it is "long non-coding RNA (LUSI_LNC006813)". Lineage: Eukaryota; Viridiplantae; Streptophyta; Magnoliopsida; Malpighiales; Linaceae. The record is from RNAcentral.
CCCUAGGCCGAGCGCUUUACCACUUAAGGCAGUGGUGGCGUGGUAUUCCACGAGAAAAGGUUUUCAAUUUGUGGCGCACGUUAGUGUGAUGGGCUCACAGUAAUCAGCUCAAGGUUUAGCCAAUGGCUCGCCGGCGGCGAGGAGGCUCCCCUGGUCGCUUCGCUGCACUAGUAUUUUGCUGCCGGAGUGGCCGGACUUUGCCCCCACAAUUUCUUAAAUCCAAUCCUCAGCUGGCGGAAACUUGCCGACUUUCCUCCUGCUGGGGCAACCUUGUUCAUCGAUUCAGCUGUAAAGAUUCAUUCUUUGCGUGGUUAAUGAAUAGCUUUCGAUUGAACAGCAGGUGUUAAAAUAAAAUGUCUCAACCAUCACUUCAGUUGUAUGUUAUAUUAUAGGCUCUUGGUGAGUUUGCUUUGAUCUGCAGAUUGUUCAUGGAAAUGAAAGAACAACACUGUUACUGGAUUCUGGUGAUCCUAAGAAGGUGAAGAAACCAGCUUUUUGGUUUGUUUGUUGAUUAUGGUGAUUGAAUUGAAACACCUGGUCAAGUGUGAAACUGAAAUUCAUGGCAAAAGCAGUCACAUUGGCCAUGGAAUCAAAAUAUCUGAUCCUUUGUCUGGAUUGUGCAGAAACCAGGAUCAUGGAAUGGAAGCUGUCAAGUUGAUCAUCAUCCCCAGUAAUGACAUAUGGGAGAAGAUGAAACUAAGACUGCAAAUGCUUGAACUGCAAUUGAUUGCUAGCUGCGAACAUAGCUUAUUAGUAAUAACCACUUAUAGACUAGUUCCUCUGUAUCUUUAAACUGUCUGGUGAAUGCUGAGCUUUAAACCUAUGGCGGGGUCCCCUUCUUGCUGAUGCUUAGUUGAACGAUGGCUGGGGAUUCACCAUAACCGAUUGUGAAUGGAAUUCCCAAAUUUUAUGUUUACAGCUUUAGUUUGAUCCUUUGUCUAGGUUGUGCAG